This 255-nucleotide ribosomal RNA is filed under the name uncultured bacterium. Its description in RNAcentral is "partial 16S ribosomal RNA". It matches the Rfam family "Bacterial small subunit ribosomal RNA", at positions 524 to 776 of the family's 1533-position model. The record is from RNAcentral.
UACGUAGGGUGCGAGCGUUAAUCGGAAUUACUGGGCGUAAAGCGUGCGCAGGCGGUUUUGUAAGUCAGAUGUGAAAUCCCCCGGGCUCAACCUGGGAACUGCGUUUGAAACUACAAGGCUAGAGUAUGGCAGAGGGGGGGUAGAAUUCCACGUGUAGCAGUGAAAUGCGUAGAGAUGUGGAGGAAUACCGAUGGCGAAGGCAGCCCCCUGGGCCAAUACUGACGCUUAUGCACGAAAGCGUGGGGAGCAAACAGG